AGCAGCGUAGCGCAGUGGAAGCGGUGGUGGGCUCAUAACUCACACGUCGUAUGAUCGAAACAUACCGCUGCUA
This is a non-coding RNA of Neocallimastix lanati (nom. inval.), 73 nucleotides long. The record is from the annotation of a GenBank genome assembly. Lineage: Eukaryota; Fungi; Neocallimastigomycota; Neocallimastigomycetes; Neocallimastigales; Neocallimastigaceae.